GGCCUAAUAGUUUAGUGGAAGAAUGGUAGUUUAGGGAACUAUUGACCCGUGUUCGAUUCUCGGUUAGGCCC
Molecule: non-coding RNA, 71 nt
Organism: Anaeramoeba flamelloides
Lineage: Eukaryota; Anaeramoebidae
Source: the annotation of a GenBank genome assembly